UUUAAUGAUGAAUCAUUACAACAUUAUCACGACGGUCAACAUAAGGAUUUAUAUUGAUGACUAUCGCCUGUGACAAGGCAUUGAUCUGAAA
RNAcentral lists this small nucleolar RNA (91 nucleotides) under Penicillium antarcticum. RNAcentral's name for it is "Small nucleolar RNA snR73". It matches the Rfam family "Small nucleolar RNA snR73". Lineage: Eukaryota; Fungi; Ascomycota; Eurotiomycetes; Eurotiales; Aspergillaceae. The record is from Rfam by way of RNAcentral.